GACGAACGCUGGCGGCGUGCCUAACACAUGCAAGUCGAACGGGCCUGUCUUCUUUUUUGGGGGUGGGUUGAGUGGCGAACGGGUGAGUAUCACGUGAGUAACCUGCCCUUCGGUCCUGGAUAACCGCUUGAAAGGGCGGCUAAUACGGGGUGGUCCGGUUGGUCCGCAUGGGCUGGUCGGGAUAGAUUCACUGUUUUUGGUGUUUCGGCGGGGGAUGGGCUCGCGGCCUAUCAGCUUGUUGGUGGGGUGAUGGCCUACCAAGGCGGUGACGGGUAGCCGGCCUGAGAGGGUGGGCGGCCACACUGGGACUGAGAUACGGCCCAGACUCCUGCGGGAGGCAGCAGUGGGGGGUAUUGCACAAUGGGCGGAAGCCUGAUGCAGCGACGUCGCGUGAGGGAUGGAGGCCUUCGGGUUGUGAACCUCUGUUUCCGGUGGUGAAGGCCCUGUCCGUGUGGUGGGGUUGACGGUAGCCGGGGAUGAAGCGCCGGCUAACUACGUG
RNAcentral lists this ribosomal RNA (499 nucleotides) under uncultured bacterium. RNAcentral's name for it is "partial 16S ribosomal RNA". It matches the Rfam family "Bacterial small subunit ribosomal RNA", at positions 28 to 507 of the family's 1533-position model. The record is from RNAcentral.